This 522-nucleotide ribosomal RNA is filed under the name uncultured bacterium. RNAcentral's name for it is "partial 16S ribosomal RNA". It matches the Rfam family "Bacterial small subunit ribosomal RNA", at positions 355 to 868 of the family's 1533-position model. The record is from RNAcentral.
UGGGGAAUUUUGGACAAUGGGCGAAAGCCUGAUCCAGCAAUGCCGCGUGUGUGAAGAAGGCCUUCGGGUUGUAAAGCACUUUUGUCCGGAAAGAAAUCCUUGGCUCUAAUACAGUCGGGGGAUGACGGUACCGGAAGAAUAAGCACCGGCUAACUACGUGCCAGCAGCCGCGGUAAUACGUAGGGUGCAAGCGUUAAUCGGAAUUACUGGGCGUAAAGCGUGCGCAGGCGGUUUGCUAAGACCGAUGUGAAAUCCCCGGGCUCAACCUGGGAACUGCAUUGGUGACUGGCAGGCUAGAGUAUGGCAGAGGGGGGUAGAAUUCCACGUGUAGCAGUGAAAUGCGUAGAGAUGUGGAGGAAUACCGAUGGCGAAGGCAGCCCCCUGGGCCAAUACUGACGCUCAUGCACGAAAGCGUGGGGAGCAAACAGGAUUAGAUACCCUGGUAGUCCAGCGCCCUAAACGAUGUCCAACUAGUUGUUGGGGAUUCAUUUCCUUAGUAACGUAGCUAACGCGUGAAGUUGA